CAGCCGCCGCGGUAAUACGUAGGUGGCAAGCGUUGCCCGGAAUUAUUGGGCGUAAAGGGCUCGCAGGCGGCUUCUUAAGUCUGAUGUGAAAGCCCCCGGCUCAACCGGGGAGGGUCAUUGGAAACUGGGAAACUUGAGUGCAGAAGAGGAGAGUGGAAUUCCACGUGUAGCGGUGAAAUGCGUAGAGAUGUGGAGGAACACCAGUGGCGAAGGCGACUCUCUGGUCUGUAACUGACGCUGAGGAGCGAAAGCGUGGGGAGCGAACAGGAUUAGAUACCCCGGUAGUCCCUGUCUCUUAUAC
Molecule: ribosomal RNA, 301 nt
Filed under: uncultured bacterium
Lineage: Bacteria
Description: partial 16S ribosomal RNA
Rfam family: Bacterial small subunit ribosomal RNA
Source: RNAcentral